This is a long non-coding RNA of Mustela erminea (ermine), 755 nucleotides long. RefSeq lists it as uncharacterized. The transcript has 2 exons. NCBI's taxonomy places the organism in Eukaryota, Metazoa, Chordata, Mammalia, Carnivora, Mustelidae. The record is from RefSeq and is a predicted model, not a curated record.
CCUGGAACUAAUACCUCUUCAAGCCCCUCCCCACUUUGUUAGAGGAAUUUCUUGGCGCCCCACCCUUCCCUCCUGCUAGCCACCAGGCCGAUUUGGGGUCCAGGAGGGCAUUUCUGGCGUGGGAAAAACACCAACAAAAGCAGGAGAAAGAAGAAGGGCAAAGUCAAAUUGAUAGAGACAAAACCGGGCUGAGAGAGGAGGCUGAGAGUCUGAGCCGGUGGCUCGAAAGGCCUGGAGGGCAGGCUGCGAAGUGUGUGCUGGGCUAGGUGGGAGGCCACGGGGACCGGGAGGUCACAGCUGGAAGGAUGGUUCUGGGACGAUGACAACGUGCUUGCUGCGGGCUGGGUGUGCUCAGACUCCCUGUGGACCAGCCCGCUCGGUCCUCUCGCCGAUGCUAAUGCAGGAAUCACUUCCUUGCAUUGUACAGGAGAGGAAACAGAAGCCCCGAGAGGUGGGGUUGAUUACCCAACGUCACACAGCUUGGAGACCCAUGGUCAAACUCUUCAUGCUCUUGCCAUUUUCACCAUGUGCUCCUUCUCACCGGGCUCAAAGGGGUUGUGAGAACUCGCAAGGCAGUGCUGUGACGAGCUCUAAAACCCUCCACUUGGACGUAAACAUGGUGUCCCAGCAACGUGAUCAUCAUCGCCAGACCCCCAGGGCCACCAAGGUGUCCUUCAGUAGGUGGUGGAUAAACUGUGGCCCAUCCAGACAAUGGACUGUUACCAGCAUGAAAAAGAAAAGAGCUACCAAGCCAU